This 546-nucleotide ribosomal RNA is filed under the name uncultured fungus. RNAcentral describes it as "eukaryotic LSU rRNA". The stretch from base 202 to 355 matches the Rfam family "5.8S ribosomal RNA". The record is from RNAcentral. Lineage: Eukaryota; Fungi.
AAGUCGUAACAAGGUCUCCGUAGGUGAACCUGCGGAGGGAUCAUUACAAGAACGCCCGGGCUUCGGCCUGGUUAUUCAUAACCCUUUGUUGUCCGACUCUGUUGCCUCCGGGGCGACCCUGCCUUCGGGCGGGGGCUCCGGGUGGACACUUCAAACUCUUGCGUAACUUUGCAGUCUGAGUAAACUUAAUUAAUAAAUUAAAACUUUUAACAACGGAUCUCUUGGUUCUGGCAUCGAUGAAGAACGCAGCGAAAUGCGAUAAGUAAUGUGAAUUGCAGAAUUCAGUGAAUCAUCGAAUCUUUGAACGCACAUUGCGCCCCCUGGUAUUCCGGGGGGCAUGCCUGUUCGAGCGUCAUUUCACCACUCAAGCCUCGCUUGGUAUUGGGCAACGCGGUCCGCCGCGUGCCUCAAAUCGACCGGCUGGGUCUUCUGUCCCCUAAGCGUUGUGGAAACUAUUCGCUAAAGGGUGUUCGGGAGGCUACGCCGUAAAACAACCCCAUUUCUAAGGUUGACCUCGGAUCAGGUAGGGAUACCCGCUGAACUUAA